Molecule: non-coding RNA, 65 nt
Organism: Podarcis lilfordi (Lilford's wall lizard)
Lineage: Eukaryota; Metazoa; Chordata; Lepidosauria; Squamata; Lacertidae
Source: the annotation of a GenBank genome assembly
GAGCUUAAUGGUAGAGCACCUGCUUGGCAUGCAGAAGGUCCCAGGUUUAAUCCUCUGCAUCUCCA